GUUGCACCCAAACCCAAAGGUCACGCCCUGACCCGUGGUGUGAUUUUGUCUGGGUCGCAGACAGAACCAGAACCUUGUCGCCUUUCUCUGCUGCUGCUGUGCCUCUGAAAGUGAAUUCAAGGUCCGACAUGU
This 132-nucleotide small nucleolar RNA is filed under the name Kryptolebias marmoratus (mangrove rivulus). RNAcentral describes it as "Small nucleolar RNA SNORA68 (ENSKMAG00000019050.1)". It matches the Rfam family "Small nucleolar RNA SNORA68". From Rfam's summary of the family: U68 is a member of the H/ACA class of small nucleolar RNAs (snoRNAs) which act as guides in the the modification of uridines to pseudouridines. The record is from Rfam by way of RNAcentral. Lineage: Eukaryota; Metazoa; Chordata; Actinopteri; Cyprinodontiformes; Rivulidae.